RNAcentral lists this transfer RNA (75 nucleotides) under Clostridia bacterium. RNAcentral describes it as "tRNA-Glu". It matches the Rfam family "tRNA". From Rfam's summary of the family: Transfer RNA (tRNA) molecules are approximately 80 nucleotides in length. Their secondary structure includes four short double-helical elements and three loops (D, anti-codon, and T loops). The record is from RNAcentral. Lineage: Bacteria; Bacillati; Bacillota; Clostridia. RNAcentral also lists the same sequence under 1 other name.
GGUCCCGUGGUCAAGCGGUUAAGACACCACCCUUUCACGGUGGUAUCAUGGGUUCGAUUCCCAUCGGGACUACCA